UACGUAGGGUGCAAGCGUUAAUCGGAAUUACUGGGCGUAAAGCGUGCGCAGGCGGUUUUGUAAGUCUGUCGUGAAAUCCCCGGGCUUAACCUGGGAAUGGCGAUGGAGACUGCAAGGCUAGAAUCUGGCAGAGGGGGUAGAAUUCCACGUGUAGCAGUGAAAUGCGUAGAGAUGUGGAGGAACACCGAUGGCGAAGGCAGCCCCCUGGGCUAAGAUUGACGCUCAUGCACGAAAGCGUGGGGAGCAAACAGG
Molecule: ribosomal RNA, 252 nt
Filed under: uncultured bacterium
Lineage: Bacteria
Description: partial 16S ribosomal RNA
Rfam family: Bacterial small subunit ribosomal RNA
Source: RNAcentral